UACGUAGGGUGCAAGCGUUUAAUCGGAAUUACUGGGCGUAAAGCGUGCGCAGGCGGCUUUGCAAGACAGAUGUGAAAUCCCCGGGCUCAACCUGGGAACUGCAUUUGUGACUGCAUGGCUAGAGUACGGUAGAGGGGGAUGGAAUUCCGCGUGUAGCAGUGAAAUGCGUAGAUAUGCGGAGGAACACCGAUGGCGAAGGCAAUCCCCUGGACCUGUACUGACGCUCAUGCAC
RNAcentral lists this ribosomal RNA (232 nucleotides) under uncultured bacterium. RNAcentral's name for it is "partial 16S ribosomal RNA". It matches the Rfam family "Bacterial small subunit ribosomal RNA", at positions 524 to 754 of the family's 1533-position model. The record is from RNAcentral.